This 421-nucleotide ribosomal RNA is filed under the name Spathius aff. elymus 1 AZR-2017. Its description in RNAcentral is "eukaryotic LSU rRNA". Lineage: Eukaryota; Metazoa; Arthropoda; Insecta; Hymenoptera; Braconidae. The record is from RNAcentral.
GUUCAAGAGUACGUGAAACCGUUCAGGGGUAAACCUGAGAAACCCAAAAGAUCGAAUAGGGAGAUUCAUCGUCAGYAUGUCUUAUAUAUAUAUGAGUUAUGAUGCGAGUUACUUUUGUAUUGCUUGCACAUUCUUGUAUAUUUAGUUGUGAGAUAURUCGGCGUGCACUUCUCCCUUAGUAGAACAUCGCAACCCGUUGAAUGUUAGUCUAUGACUCGAGUGGGAGUCUUUAACGUUUUUAACAUUGAAGACCCUUGGUGUUCUGACUGACUGUUCGACGGUACUCGUAUGGUAUUAAGUCGCAUACUUUAUGCGUCCAUAUCYAUCACAAGUGAGGUUAAUUUCUGGCAGUACGGACCUAGUGCCGUCGUUGGAUUURACCAGCUGUUGGUUGAUGGUAUUCUGGRACUGAUUUAUACCG